AUGCAAAUAACGUGUAAUACAGUCAAUAUAGAUGAUAAAUUA
This 42-nucleotide non-coding RNA is filed under the name Trypanosoma brucei brucei. Lineage: Eukaryota; Euglenozoa; Kinetoplastea; Trypanosomatida; Trypanosomatidae. The record is from RNAcentral.